Molecule: transfer RNA, 68 nt
Filed under: Heterocephalus glaber (naked mole-rat)
Lineage: Eukaryota; Metazoa; Chordata; Mammalia; Rodentia; Bathyergidae
Rfam family: tRNA
About the family: Transfer RNA (tRNA) molecules are approximately 80 nucleotides in length. Their secondary structure includes four short double-helical elements and three loops (D, anti-codon, and T loops).
Source: Rfam by way of RNAcentral
GGGGCUGUUGCUCAGUGGUAGAGCACUUGCUUAGCACGCACAAGGCCCUGGGUUCCAUCCCAGCACCA